CUCUGAGACAGGUGCUGCAUGGCUGUCGUCAGCUCGUGUUGUGAAAUGUUGGGUUAAGUCCCGCAACGAGCGCAACCCUUAUCCUUGUUUGCCAGCGAGUAAUGUCGGGAACUCCAGGGAGACUGCCGGUGAUAAACCGGAGGAAGGUGGGGACGACGUCAAGUCAUCAUGGCCCUUACGAGUAGGGCUACACACGUGCUACAAUGGCGCAUACAGAGGGCGGCCAACUUGCGAAAGUGAGCGAAUCCCAAAAAGUGCGUCGUAGUCCGGAUUGGAGUCUGCAACUCGACUCCAUGAAGUCGGAAUCGCUAGUAAUCGUGGAUCAGAAUGCCACGGUGAAUACGUUCCCGGGCCUUGUACACACCGCCCGUCACACCAUGGGAGUGGGCUGCAAAAGAAGUAGGUAGUUUAACCUUCGGGGGGACGCUUACCACUUUGUGGUUCAUGACUGGGGUGAAGUCGUAACAAGGUAGCGCUAGGGGAACCUGGCGCUGGAUCACCUCCUUAAACGAUGAU
RNAcentral lists this ribosomal RNA (516 nucleotides) under Vibrio parahaemolyticus. RNAcentral's name for it is "bacterial SSU rRNA". It matches the Rfam family "Bacterial small subunit ribosomal RNA", at positions 1027 to 1533 of the family's 1533-position model. The record is from RNAcentral. Lineage: Bacteria; Pseudomonadati; Pseudomonadota; Gammaproteobacteria; Vibrionales; Vibrionaceae.